RNAcentral lists this ribosomal RNA (406 nucleotides) under Amblyomma americanum (Lone Star tick). RNAcentral describes it as "partial 12S ribosomal RNA". The record is from RNAcentral. Lineage: Eukaryota; Metazoa; Arthropoda; Arachnida; Ixodida; Ixodidae.
AAACUAGGAUUAGAUACCCUAUUAUUAGGAAUAAUUCAUUGUUAGUAAAUAUUAAAUACGAAAACAAAAAAUUAUGGCGGUAUCUUAAGCUUUUCAGAGGAAUUUGCUCUUUUAUGGAUAAAACACCUAAAUCUUACUAAAAUUUGCAGUGCAGUUUGUAUACCACUAUAAAAGUAAUAAUUAGUUAUUAUUACUUAAACUUUUUAAAUAAAAAGAAAAUUAAGUCAAGGUGCAGCAAAAAUUUUAGGAUGAAGUGAAUUACAAUGCUUUUUAGAAAUAUUAAAAAUUGAAAUUUAAAAUUUUAGGAUUUGAAAGUAAAAAUUUAAUAAAAUGAUUUUUUGAAUUAAGUUCUGAGAUAUGUACAUAUCGCCCGUCGCUCUUUUUGUAAAGAUAAGUCGUAACAUAG